Long non-coding RNA from Panicum virgatum (switchgrass), 1433 nucleotides. RefSeq lists it as uncharacterized. The record is from RefSeq and is a predicted model, not a curated record. The transcript is spliced from 3 exons. Lineage: Eukaryota; Viridiplantae; Streptophyta; Magnoliopsida; Poales; Poaceae.
UACAAUUGGGAUUAAGGUAUGGUUGGUCUGUCUUAUUCUUUAUUCAUUUUGGUACCUCUCAGAUUUAAUGAAUAAGUAGCAUAACAGUCCAUUCUAUUUUAGAUUGGUUUUGUAUGAUCAUUUUCAGAAUACAAAUAUAUGAACCAGUUCACUUAUAAAUUACUACUGAACCGCAGACUCUUGCAUAUACUGAAUUUUCAUUGUUUUGUUAUGGUGCUUCUGAGUAGUGACAGUAAUAAAGCAUUAAGAUUCAAUAUAAUCUGCGAUUUUUCUAUCAGUCUUGCUGAAAAUGCAUUCAAAUCUCAAAUGAACCGGAUAUUCCACUUCUAAUAUCUUACACUUCACAGGCUGCUGUUUUCUGCAUUUUUUUUAAUCAGAUUACAUCUGCCAUUUUCACGAGCUCACAUCUUAAGUCCAUCAGUAAGAACAAAAUGCAAAUAUUUGUUACUAUCUGGAGCAUAUAUUUGUGAAAAUAUAGUACAGCAACCUUUUCCCAAGUGUAUGUAAGUGACCCUGUAGCACCUUCUUGUAAAUUCCUAUUCAUUAUAAUAUAUGAAUGAAGUGGAUGCUUCUGCAUUCUAUUAUGUUAGUGCUCUAGCUAGUAUCCAAUAAUGCAUCAGCCGUUAAGAGAAUGAGUCCAAAGUCCAAAUCUUUGUUUUUUGAAAAGGACGAAUAUUCCAAAGAUGGCUGCUCUAACAUUUUUCAGAUAUAAUCUAGUUUAGCUUAAUAAAGUUGUCCAUUCACUUGAGUCCAGGAUAAAAAUAGCUUCUGGAAGGCAUGUUCCAUAUAUGCUGAACUGGCACAACAAUCCUAUUAUACUCUGCUCAGAUUAAGUCUGUUCAUUUCGGACAUUAAAUGUAUGAUGCUAAGCUAAUAAUUAUAUUCAUUUAUUUUCCUCCUUUCUAUUUAUUUCCUGGCAAAGUUUAGCAUUUGUUUGCUUAGUUUGUGAUGUGAGUUUAUAAUCUUUGAUUACAUCAUGUUUCCUUUAGUUUCACAAUUUUUGAGCUUCACUUUUAUUACAGAGAAGAUUCACUUAGUUUCCUCAUUUAGACUUUAUCAGAUAUGUUUUGCAUAUGAACAAGAUAAAUUGGUAGAAUACAAUAUCAGUGCUAUAUCAUAUUCUAUCACAAUAAAAUCUCACUGUUGUAGAUUCUUUGGAAGGGGAACAGAAUGGAAGACAUCAAGAGGACUCCCAGGCUGAACUGAUAGAAAAACUAAUAGGACAAGCAUGAAAGACAGGCACUUCAAGAAGAUAAUUGAGCACUUAGAGAUGGUAAUCAAGUCCUUCAUGAAGAAAAUCGGAAGGUUAACAAUCAUGUGAGCCGAAUGGAAGAAGAGUGGGCACAAAUAAAGAAGUGUGAGUGCUAAUUGUAGCCAACAUGAAUAGCCAGUAUCUGGUAGGGAUCAGGAUGGAGAAGAUUAUUAGAAGCAAG